GGCCGGUUAGCUCAGUCAGUUGAGUGUAGCGCUAGCAACGCUAAGGUUGUGGGUUCGAUUCCCAGUCGGUCCG
Apaloderma vittatum (bar-tailed trogon) is the source of this 73-nucleotide transfer RNA. It matches the Rfam family "tRNA". Rfam says of the family: Transfer RNA (tRNA) molecules are approximately 80 nucleotides in length. The record is from Rfam. NCBI's taxonomy places the organism in Eukaryota, Metazoa, Chordata, Aves, Trogoniformes, Trogonidae.